Long non-coding RNA from Capsicum annuum, 2101 nucleotides. RefSeq lists it as uncharacterized. The transcript is spliced from 3 exons. NCBI's taxonomy places the organism in Eukaryota, Viridiplantae, Streptophyta, Magnoliopsida, Solanales, Solanaceae. The record is from RefSeq and is a predicted model, not a curated record.
UUGUGUUCUUGUUGCUAUUGAAAUUAUUUUGUAGAAAAAAAAAAAUAAUUGGUAAAAAGUAUCACAUUCUUAAAUAAAUGCAUGACAUUAAUAUGUUUUUGACUAAACAAAAAAAGAAAAAUACUUACAUUGGAGAAAUCAAAGAUAGGUGAGUUAGUUGUAUCAUUCAGUACAAAAAGUUCUUGUUUUUAUUUUUUCUCUUAGCUUUUUACCCCUUUGAAUUGAUUUUUGGAUUACUAAAGGAUGCAUAGUAAUGACUACCAUUAAUAAUGUUUUGUCCAUAUAACUCUUCUUCUUGAUGAAAAUUUGAAGGUCCUCAAGAUGUAUAAGAAAUCAUAGACAAAUCUUCUUUUUCUUUCUCUUCUUUUUGUUGUUGGUUUUGCUUUAAACUCUGUUCACCUUUACAGUUGUUGUCUUCACAAAAUGUUAAGUAAGAAUUUUCUAAGUAUAAAGUCCAAUCAAACUCACAUCCACAAUUGCAUUUUUAAUCAGUUGCCACCAUUUCAUGAUUCAUUUGAUUUAUUUGUAUGUCUAAGAUAAAGAAUUUAAGAAAAUCAAAAAAGUUUAUUUAUGUGGGGGUAAAUGAUGAGCAAAGAACUAUUACACAAGUAUUGUUAGUGAGUAGUGACAUCCCUUGUUAUUGCUAAAUAGUUCAAGAAAUAUGUCAUACAUAGUAGUACCUGCUACACUUUUUAAUAGAAUAACCCUCUCAGCAUACCUCAAGUAUCAAUUGAUGUGCCUGUUAUUAGCCAUGUAUUUAGUAAGAUUACUCACCUUUUGUUUCUUAUUCUUAUAGUAUAUCUUUUUCUAUAUUUUAGAAUAUGUUUGUUUUUACAGCUCAUCUUAUUCACUCAUUUCUUUAGAUCAUUUAUAUUCCAUUAUAUCGAAAAUUAAUUUGGUACGAAGUAACGCUAAGUGGGAUGAUGAUGCUCAUAUUUCUUUUAUAAAGGUGUGUGUAAAAGAAAUUAAAAAAGAAAAUAGACCAAAUUCUCAUUUAAAUAAAGAUGGUUAACAAAAUAUGGUUGAGGAGUUCAAUAGGAAGGCGGGAACAAAUUAUAUUAGAAAACAAUUGAAAAAUAAGUGGAAUAACAUGAAAUAGGACUGGACUUUUUUUAAGCAGAUGAUGAGAGAGCAUACAGGUUCAGAUUGGGAUGCCACAAAAAAUACAAUCAUUGCAGAUGACGAUUGGUGGGAGAAAAAGAUUAAGUUAAAUGAAGAGUUUGGAUAUUAGCAUGUCUCCUGAUUUAAGUGACUUAUUAGAUGAAGAAGAUGCAAAACUAAAAAAAGUUCGCAGAGAGCAAGACAAGGAGUGGAUAACUUUGUUUCAACUAGCAGGAUUGCAUUGGAGCACUUGAAGGCACACAUGUUAAAGCUAGAUUGCCGCAAGGUCAAGAAAUACCGUAUAUUGAUCGUAAAAGUUAUACGAGUCAAAAUAUUCUUAUCGUUAUAGAUUUUAGUAUGUAUUUUACAUUUUUAUGGGCUGGGUGGGAAGGGUCGUCUCAUGAUAAUCGUAUAUUUCAUGAGGUUCUUCGUAGACAAGAAUUCAACUUUCCACAUCCAUUGAAAAAUAAAUAUUAUCUAGUUGAUUCUAGAUAUUCACACAUGAAGGGAUACAUGGCUUCUUAUAGAGGAGAUAAUGUGAGAUAUCAUCUUUCUGACUUUCGACAUGAUGCAACACGAUAAUUGCAGGAGCCAAGAGGAUGCAUUGAAAAAGUUAAUUAUUUACAUUCAUCUUGUAGAAACAUAGUGGAGCGCAUAUCUCAUGUUUGAAAAGUAAGGUGAUCUAUUUUACGAGACAUGUCUUACUAUAAUAUUGACAUCCAAAAGGAUAUCAUAAUUGCUACUAUUGUCAUUUAUAAUUACAUUAGAAAGAAGUGCAGUGUGAUUAAUGCAAACGGUUGAGAAUGAAAAAUAUAUUCCAUCGAUUGAUUUUGGUUUAGGCACAACUUCAAGGGCUAACAAUAUAGAUGACAAAAAUGUGAGUGAAGAAAGUAAUUUGUAUUCGGUGGGACUUCGUGAUAUGAUUGCUAAUGAUAAUUGUAAUGCUUAAUGCUUGUAUUAAUUGAAUAUUUCUACUUUUUGUAUUUAUGUCGAGCUUAAC